This 253-nucleotide ribosomal RNA is filed under the name uncultured bacterium. RNAcentral's name for it is "partial 16S ribosomal RNA". It matches the Rfam family "Bacterial small subunit ribosomal RNA", at positions 524 to 776 of the family's 1533-position model. The record is from RNAcentral.
UACAGAGGUCUCAAGCGUUGUUCGGAUUCAUUGGGCGUAAAGGGUGCGUAGGCGGCGCGGUAAGUCGGGUGUGAAAUCUCGGAGCUUAACUCCGAAACUGCAUUCGAUACUGCCGUGCUUGAGGACUGGAGAGGAGACUGGAAUUUACGGUGUAGCGGUGAAAUGCGUAGAUAUGACCCGGAACACCGAUUGCGAAGGCAGCCCACUAAGCAAUGAUUGACGCUGAGGCACGAAAGCGUGGGGAGCAAACAGG